UCCCUCAUCGCUCAGUCAGUAAAGCAUCUGCCUGCAAUGCAGGAGACCUGGGUUUGAUUCCUGGGUUGGGAG
RNAcentral lists this transfer RNA (72 nucleotides) under Bos taurus (domestic cattle). It matches the Rfam family "tRNA". Rfam says of the family: Transfer RNA (tRNA) molecules are approximately 80 nucleotides in length. Their secondary structure includes four short double-helical elements and three loops (D, anti-codon, and T loops). The record is from Rfam by way of RNAcentral. Lineage: Eukaryota; Metazoa; Chordata; Mammalia; Artiodactyla; Bovidae. RNAcentral also lists the same sequence under 2 other names.